This is a small nuclear RNA of Erpetoichthys calabaricus (reedfish), 189 nucleotides long. Ensembl annotates it as U4atac minor spliceosomal RNA. Its record names the gene RNU4ATAC16P. Lineage: Eukaryota; Metazoa; Chordata; Cladistia; Polypteriformes; Polypteridae. The record is from Ensembl.
UCUGUCCUUGUCUUGGGGUUGCAAGGCUGUUCAAUGAUCAUCUAGUGAGCACAGCCCUGCUAACACCAGAACAACACAUACGGAUCACCUGGAUGAGUACUGUCAUAGAUAACUCCUAAGCAGCUUGCUGACUCAUUAAAACUAACGUUUAGACUUAUUGAGUUAAACGGUAGUUUGAAUAUUGUAUCA